GACGAACGCUGGCGGCGUGCUUAACACAUGCAAGUCGAACGGUGAAGCGCUUUCCUCUUUGGUGGGUGUGGAUGAGUGGCGAACGGGUGAGUAACACGUGAGUAACCUGCUUCCUUCUUCUGGAUAACCGCAUGAAAGUGUGGCUAAUACGGGAUAUUCUGGGCCUGUCGCAUGAUGGGUCUGGGAAAGAUAUUGUUUCGGUGGGGGCUGGGCUCGCGGUCUAUCAGCUUGUUGGUGGGGUGAUGGCCUACCGAGGCGGUGACGGGUAGCCGGGCUGAGAGGGUGGACGGUCACACUGGGACUGAGACACGGCGCAGACUCCUACGGGAGGCAGCAGUGAGGAAUAGUGCACGAUGGGCGCAAGGCUGAUGCAGCGACGCCGCGUGGGAGAUGGAGGCCGUCGGGUUGUGAACCUCUUUCGCCAGUGAAGCAGGCCUGCCUCGUUUGUGGGUGGGUUGACGGUAGCUAGAGAAGAAGCGCCGGCUAACUACGUG
RNAcentral lists this ribosomal RNA (494 nucleotides) under uncultured bacterium. RNAcentral describes it as "partial 16S ribosomal RNA". It matches the Rfam family "Bacterial small subunit ribosomal RNA", at positions 28 to 507 of the family's 1533-position model. The record is from RNAcentral.